GACAGAGGGUGCAAACGUUGCUCGGAAUUACUGGGCGUAAAGCGCGUGUAGGCGGAUUGGCAAGUCGGGUGUGAAAAUCCAGGGCUCAACCCUGGACCUGCAUUCGAUACGGGCAGACUAGAGUUCGGUAGGGGAGACUGGAAUUCCUGGUGUAGCGGUGAAAUGCGCAGAUAUCAGGAGGAACACCGAUGGCGAAGGCAGGUCUCUGGGCCACUACUGACGCUGAGAAGCGAAAGCAUGGGGAGCGAACAGG
This 253-nucleotide ribosomal RNA is filed under the name uncultured bacterium. Its description in RNAcentral is "partial 16S ribosomal RNA". It matches the Rfam family "Bacterial small subunit ribosomal RNA", at positions 524 to 776 of the family's 1533-position model. The record is from RNAcentral.